UACGUAGGGUGCAAGCGUUGUCCGGAAUUAUUGGGCGUAAAGAGCGUGUAGGCGGCCCGGUAAGUCCGCUGUGAAAGUCGGGGGCUCAACCCUCGAAUGCCGGUGGAUACUGUCGGGCUAGAGUGCGGAAGAGGCGAGUGGAAUUCCUGGUGUAGCGGUGAAAUGCGCAGAUAUCAGGAGGAACACCGAUUGCGAAGGCAGCUCGCUGGGACGUUACUGACGCUGAGACGCGAAAGCGUGGGGAGCAAACAGG
This 253-nucleotide ribosomal RNA is filed under the name uncultured bacterium. RNAcentral describes it as "partial 16S ribosomal RNA". It matches the Rfam family "Bacterial small subunit ribosomal RNA", at positions 524 to 776 of the family's 1533-position model. The record is from RNAcentral.